AAUAUUGGACAAUGGGGGCAACCCUGAUCCAGCCAUGCCGCGCGUGUGAAGAAGGUCUUCGGAUUGUAAAGCACUUUAAGUUGGGAGGAAGGGAGUUAGGUUAAUACCUUGAAUUUUUGAUGUUACCAACUGAAUAAGCACGGGCCAACUCUGUUCCAGCAGCCGCGGUAAUACAGAGGGUGCAAGCGUUAAUCGGAAUUACUGGGCGUAAAGCGAGGGUAGGUGGUAGAGUAAGAUGGGUGUGAAAUCCCCGGGCUUAACCUGGGAACGGCUUUCAUAACUGCUGAGCUAGAGUACGGUAGAGGGUAGUGGAAUUUCAUGUGUAGCGGUGAAAUGCGUAGAUAUAGGAAGGAACACCAGUGGCGAAGGCGACUACCUGGACUGAUACUGACACUGAGGUGCGAAAGCGUGGGGAGCAAACA
This 422-nucleotide ribosomal RNA is filed under the name uncultured bacterium. RNAcentral's name for it is "partial 16S ribosomal RNA". It matches the Rfam family "Bacterial small subunit ribosomal RNA", at positions 360 to 774 of the family's 1533-position model. The record is from RNAcentral.